This 253-nucleotide ribosomal RNA is filed under the name uncultured bacterium. Its description in RNAcentral is "partial 16S ribosomal RNA". It matches the Rfam family "Bacterial small subunit ribosomal RNA", at positions 524 to 776 of the family's 1533-position model. The record is from RNAcentral.
UACGGAGGGGACUAGCGUUGUUCGGAAUUACUGGGCGUAAAGCGCACGUAGGCGGAUCUGUAAGUCAGGGGUGAAAUCCCGGGGCUCAACCUCGGAACUGCCUUUGAUACUGCAAAUCUCGAGUCCGGAAGAGGUGAGUGGAAUUCCUAGUGUAGAGGUGAAAUUCGUAGAUAUUAGGAAGAACACCAGUGGCGAAGGCGGCUCACUGGUCCGGUACUGACGCUGAGGUGCGAAAGCAUGGGUAGCGAACAGG